Molecule: long non-coding RNA, 7403 nt
Organism: Chinchilla lanigera (long-tailed chinchilla)
Lineage: Eukaryota; Metazoa; Chordata; Mammalia; Rodentia; Chinchillidae
Exons: 2
Source: RefSeq, a predicted model, not a curated record
CCAGGGGGCACUGUGGCCACAGCCUCGCCCAUGGCAGGGGCAGGAGCCCGGCAGGUCCCUUUGACACAGGGUCAGGUCCCGGCCUCAGCUGCGUGAUGAGAAGAUUCCCAUGGUGCUGGGGUUUUGGCUGCCGGGAGGCUUUGUCCAUGGAGUGGGAGGUCACAGGGCUAGACUGGAGCCCUGAGACGACCGUCUUCAGAGCAGAUGUGGUCAGGUGACAGGAUGACUCGGUCGUCAGACUGCAGAAGGGAAGGGGUGGGGGACAAGCCAGGAGGCACCCGGAGCGGGGACUCAGCACAGACCCCGCAGCACCCAAGCGCCGUCCCGAGCCCCGCAGGGAGCAGGAGCUCGUCACCGGGCACACUGCUCCUGCCUCCCCAGGGCGGAUGUCAUCUGGCUGACGGGUCCCCGAGGCGAUCUCCGGUGCACACGCCACAGCACACUCCGAUCCUGUCCCCGCCUGUCACCUCCGCUCUCCCGCCCCGACGGUUCUGCUGGGACACCCCAGAACCCUCUCUGGAGCCACGGGGCCCUGACUGACCCUCCAGCCCUGCGUGCUUUCAUCGAUCUGCUUCUAGCUGAAGUUAAAAUCACUAAUUCCGGGCCGCACCGCCGAGCAAGGUGUCAUUCGCCUCCCACUGACCUUGCUGCACGGGGUACUGCCGUCGCUGGGCGCGAUGCUGACGGUGGCCUGGGUUGCUCUUCGGCGACACGAAGGCCACUCCUACCCAAACCACGACACCUGGCCGGAGCCCGCUCAGCUGUCUGCUGGGUGAGCCCCGGCGUCAGGGGCUGAAAACCCCCAUUUUCUGAACAUGCGGCCGUGAGGAGGCGUGAGGACGGAUCUCGCACCCGCAAGCCGCUGACCAGGGCACCUCCCGCACCCGUCCGCAUCGGACCGGCUGUGUCCUCGUUCCCCGCAGUCCAAGCCCUUCCCCCCCGGGAUCCCGCUGCCACACGCGGCCGCCUUGUGAAUAAUUCUCUGUCUUUUGCAAAACUGUCUCGCGGCUGUCACACUGCGGCGGUCCAGGAACGCCGCGGAGGCCCGGCCUGCACCCCACUUCCACUUGCUUGCUCGCUUUGAGUGUGUCGAGCCAGGCGCACACGCCCGUCCCCGACGGCAGGUCCCUCCUCCUCCUUCCCAGGCAGCCUCCUCUGCGGGUGCGUGGGCCGUGGGAGGCGCGCUGGCCGCCGGGCCGUGCACAGCCCUCAGCCCCGCCCAGCUCCAUUCCUGAGCGAGAGCCGCGCAGCGGUCCGAGAGUGCGCGCGGAGCAGCCCCUCCCGCCGGCUGCCCUCGGGCCGGUCUGCCCAGGGGCACCUCUCCUCCGGCCGACUCUCCCUGUGGUGCGCAGCGCGGCGGGCAGUGAGCUCCCCCCGCGGGGAUCCCUUCUGCUCUCAGUGAGCGAGGGGGAUAAGACGCUGCGUUUGUUGUGUUGCGUUUUGCAUCACCUUCAUUUCUCAGAAAUGGAGGAAAUGGAAUCAAAUGCUGAUCAUGCCAGCGGGGGAGAGUCCAAGGCGGACACACCCUUGCUCUAAGCUGCCGGUGCAGAGGUCUCUGUCCACAGAAGUCUGAACCACGGCGUCAGUCCCGCAUGCUGCUCCGCGCACGUGCAGAGAGCACACACCUGUGCGUCCCACGCUCCGCUCGGCUCUGCCUGCCCAAGGCCCGUGUGAGCAGUGCAGGCCUCAGUAUAACAGCGGAGGGAGGCCGGGGCGUGAGGCUGCGCCCUCGGGAACAGACUGAGGCCCUCCUCCGGGAGCAGAUCUGCUCUUCGCAAAGUGGAUUUGCUUCAGAGUGAGCGUGGCCCCUUCGUGUGCUCCCUCUUUCCACCUCUGCCUGGGACCAGCGGCCCCGGGGCUGGCGCCAAAGUCCCCGUGCAUGCUCUUGCACAGCAGCCUCCGGGGCCACGGCCACGCGCCAUUCUGCCCAUCGUGAGCGACCUAGUCAGUGGCAAAAAGGACAAAGGCACUGCGCUGUUCGGUACCUACAUAUAACACAUAUUUAAAAUGUUUUCACACCCGUGUAUGUGUGGUAAGAGGCAGAGUGAGCAAGAGGCGGGUGACGUGUAGCGCACACAUCUGUUCGUGCAUCCCUAGGAAUAACGUAAAUUUCCGGGGAGGAGAACUGUCGUGUUCCCAGCCCGGUGUCAGCUGGCUGGGUGCUGUGUCCCUGGGACUAUGCGUCAGUUCCGCGGUAGCCUGGCCCAGCAAAGGAGUCUGAGACGUCCUGAGAAGCCAGCUCACCGCCCGCUCUGUUUAAGCCCUCAGGUGCGGUGAGCCUCCGCUGCCAGCCUGCUCCGAGGACGAGAGGAAGGCGGAUCGCUAGCCUACGCUAUGGAGAGCUCGAGGCCGGCCUGCAGAGCCUUGUGAGGGAGACCCUACCUCAAAAACUGAAAGCACAUUGAGGAUGCGGGGGAGCCGGAUGUUAACAAGCAAUGCGAGAACGUGGAGGGCCAAGCCGGGCGUGACACCCCUGUGCUUCAUGGCGUGUUCCAGGGUGACACCGGGCACAGGGUCUGACCCCGAAGCAGAUUUGAUGCGAUGGCUGCAUCUGUGACUCACAGGGACGGAGUCCCCUGCGAACUGCGCGUGCCGCUGUGGGCUGUGCACAGGCCAAACGAGAUGAGCUCCUUUGCUCUGGAUUUUUUUCCCUGGAGUGCCGGUCAUCUGCAGACAAACACCAAGGUCACCCUGAACCUGGAGCCUGAGCACUGGAGUACAGGGCAGGGCCCGGGGGCAGGGGUCCCGCAGGCCAUUUAGGCCCCUCCCCAUUGUCCCAGUGACCCAGAAAACCCCUGGUUCCCAGAAUCUCCGAGGGCCAGUAGGGGCAGAAACGCAACUGACCCAGAAUGCAGUUCUGGUCGCCACUCUCAUCCUAGAGGAGCCGAGUAGUUUGGCCCCAGGGCCCCGCGCCAGUGUGGAGGUGUCCUGUGGGCAGAGAGGAUGCUGCUGGCACCUAGUGGUGGGGACGGGGAUGCUCAGGAGGACAGAAGGGCCCCGGCCUGAAGGCGCUCGGGGGACAGUGCCCGCCACAGCCUUGGCAGGGCGGAUGGGGAGGGGCCAGGGACCACGUGACAUCGUCCCUUGUCACAGCCCUCCCUCCAGGGUUGGCAGCCAUCAUGGCCCCACCUGUCUUGUGCUGAGCUCACUGUGUCUGCUGCCCCGCUACCUCACAGAGGUGGAAGCAGCUGGGCGCGGGCUGGCCAGCAGCAGAGCAGGAGCGGCGCGGGUCCUGAACACAAGUCUCCUCAGCCCACCUGCACUGCUGCAGCCUGGUCCUGGGGCACACCAAUGGGCAGAAAGCUGGGACAGGCUAGGACUCGGGCCUGCAGGUGGGGCAAUGGACAGAGGCAGGUGCCCACCAUGUCCCCCACGAAGCUAAAGCAGGCCAGGCUGCAAAGGCCCCCGUUCUUGCUAAAGGUGGGUGUCUGGGAGGCUGGGCAUGAUGGCACACAUCUGUGAUCUCAGACUAGAGAGGCUGAGGCAGGAGGGUUGCCACAAGUUCAAGGCCAGCCUGAACUACACAGUAAGACUCUGUCUCAAAAAAAUAAAUAAAACAAGAAGAAGGGAAGCAGGGAGCUCCGGGGUCAGGACUCAGGCGCCCUGGAGGCCAGGUCAGAUAGGUGCUUUAUUCCUUCUUUUGCUCUCCUUCCCUUUCUUUUUGGAUGGAAUCACAGUUGCAAUUGUCCAAACGGGAGCAGGGUGCUCUGCAAAGGUGCAAGUCCUCUGGUUCUUUGGUGAAAAGAAAUAUGCUUUUGCCCUGGGAUGGCCCCAAGUUGAUGUCUCAGGAGACAGCCAGAUUUCUGAGGUGAGGGGCCAACUGCUGGUGUGGAACACGGGGAUUUCAGUGGGACCCCAAGACCGUGCUUGCAGCCAGUGUGACUUGGGAGAUGGAGGCUUUGGGGGGCUGUGUUCUGAGGCUCUCAGAGGAUGGCCAUGGGCCCACUUCCUCUGGAAGCCAGCUUUUCUUGAGGGCAGGGCCAAGUCAGUCCCCUCAAAACAAGGGGAGGGGUGACCACGGGAGCUCAGCACCUCAUGUGGAUGCCCAGGCAGGGGGUCAUAGCACCAGCCAGGCCAGCACGGAACUCCAGGUCCAGCUGGAAGCACGAGCCAGCCAGUGCGGGGCAGGCAGCCUCCGCUCCGGGUCCAGAUUCUGCUCCCUGCUCCUCGAGCCCCCCAGCCAUCGGAGGGCCUGUAAUUAGCGUUAUGAUAAUGACAGCCUGGGUUUAUGGAGCUGCCAUCUCCACUAUGCGCUUAGUUCUCAUGCCAGCCCUUUUGAGGAUUGCAGGGGAGGCCGGGAAAGAUUAAUUGGCUAUUUGCAUGGGGGAAACUGAGGCACGGGUAGGUUAAAAGACUUGCCCAGGACACGAAGGGAAUAAAGCUGCAGAAUGAAACUCAGAUUUGGGGCUAGCACCCCGAGCGCUGGUCCCUGGCACAGAGGUCACUGACAGAGCUUCCUGAAGGACCAGGAGCGGGAGGGCACAGGCUGGCACAGGCAUAGAGCACACGGGUCCCUCCUGUGGCUGGAAAGGACACUCCGCCUUCCAAGCCCCACAGGGAGCGCCGUGCGGUGCGGCUCACCCCACCCUGCCUGAACUUCCCACCUGUGCUCCAAGAUCCAGCACCUGGCCAUGCCUAGCUACACCUUCCAGAGGGCGACAGGCGACCUUGGGUGUACGACCAGCCCAAGCUCACAGCCAGCUCGGCGUCAGCACCACAAAGUGGGUGCACCUGUCACAGAGCCCUUCCAGCCCCAGAGGGACCAGCCGGGCUUGGCCUCCUCCCCUCAGUGACUUCAGUGGUGACAGGAACCCCUGCUGGAGGAUGAGGCCUCAGAGGGACCCGAGGCUCUGCGGACAGGCAGAGUGUGAGCACCACCCAUGCCCCAGCAGAGGGGAGGGACGGGCUUCGGAGCAGACGGAUCUGUCUCAGUGGCCCUGAAAAGCGGCUACCUGAAGCCAAGAACACAGGAGAGACCAUGGCAGGGAAAACUCUCAGCGCCACCAUCCUCCCCCACACGGAGCACCCCAGGAUCCACGACGUACUGAACCGAACAAGCCCCUCCUGAGGCUUCAGCCCUGCCCGCUGCCCCCAAGGAGAGUAUGCGGCCCAGGGGGUCCCUGAGUCCAGCCCACGCCCCUGUAGCGGAAGCCUGGGGACAGCGUCCCUACCAGCCCUGCCGUCUUCCCCGGACACUGCUCCCGUCAGGAGGGCCAAGGAUGAUAUGAAGACACCAGUGUCUCUAGAACCCGGCAGUUUCAAGACGCUGUCUCUGCGCAGUGCAGGAGUGUCCAGGGAAGCCAGAGCUGCGGUUGUGGUGACAAGAUGAAGCAGCCUCCAUGGGUGACGCCGCAGGUGACAGCGGAGAAAGUGGCCUCCCUCGGGGUCUCACCUGCUGCCCUGCAGCCAGCUCUGCUGUAGCUUCCCCUGCCAGUGAGCCCAGAGGGGACACAGGUGUCGCUUGCACACUGGAGAGACCUGUGAGAACCCUCUCUCCCCGGCCAAACAUGAAAAGCUCCCUGAUGAAACCAGACACUGGGCCAGGGCCAGGAGCUGCCCCAAUCUCGGGCGCCGCAGGAGGAGCGUUGACAAGGCUGCUUCUCCUGCCCCUGGAGGUACCAGCCACCCACACAGGAGGGCAGUGACCCAGAGAGCCAGGGCCCACUCGCUGGCCAGGGCACUGGGGAGCAGCCGCAGUGACCAGGGAGGUUCUGGAGGAUUCCUGCAGGACGUGGAGGCCCCCCGGUGCCCACAUGGUGUCUACCUCCCCCCUGCAGAGGGUUUGCUAUGUGUUUACGGUACAACUUUUUACCCCACUGCUCGGCAAUGCACUCUUACUUUUGGAACAAAUCCUUGGAGCCAUGAUAGCUAAAGAUGUUAAUAAGAUGAAAAUGCACGCUAGAUCAGAGAUUAAGUUGUUGGGUUCUGCUACUGAAGAAAGUUGCCGAUGAAUGUCUUAACUGACACCAAACGUUUGUGGGCAGUUCAUCAUCUGCUGUGUCUGAGUGCGUUUUCUGUUGCUAUGACGAAAGAGCCCAGGCUGUGUACUAUUUCAUAAAGAAAGAAGGUUUAAAUCUGGCUGUGGUGGUACACACCUGUAAUCCCAGCCUCCAGGUCACCCCACCAGUGACCGCCUCUUCUCACCAGCCUCUACCUCUACUUGCUAGUGCCAUGUACAGAUAGAAAGACAUCAGUGGACCCCAUGAUGAGCUCGCCUCCCCAAAGACCUGCCUCUCGGUGCAUGAGAAUUUGAGGGGACAUUCUACAUCUAACCAGCAGGGCCAGGGAUAUAGCUCAGCGGCACAGCGCCUGCCUGGCAAGCACAAGGUCACGAGUUCAAUUCCUGGUACCAAAAAAAAAGAAGUAUAAUAGAUCUAAACCAGCAGUCCACCCUAACCCCCAGCACCCCAUGUGUGUCCCAUUAUGUAAAAUGCAUCUACUCCGUCUCUAAGAGUUGCCAAAGUCCAAACAGUUCCAGUACUGCUGGGUUCAAGUCCAAAGUCUCCUCUGAGACUCAAGGCAAACUCUCAGUUGUGAAACCCUGUGGACGUACAAAGGCUGAGGCCGGAGGAUCGCCCUGAGUUCAAGGCCCGCCUGGACUACAUAGUGAGACCCUGUCUGAAAAACAAAACCAAACAAAAAGGUUUUGUGGGGCUCACAGUUUUGUUGGCUGAAAGUCCCAGCAGCAAACGCUAGAGCUUGAGGCGUCCCACUGCCAUUUCGUGGCAGAUGCUUGUGUGCACCAGAGUGCUGUGGCAAGGAGACGGGAUGCCAAGGAUGGGGAGAGGCAGCUUCCUCUGUUCUAAGGGCUAGAGCCACCUGCCUCCCUGCAGGCCACGCCCCCAACAUCCUCUCUCCGGACCCCACCCUUUAAAGGGCCACGCCCCCAGCAUCCUCACCAGGGCAUGUGGACCUUCAGGGCGCACUGCUUCUAAAACACAGCAUGCCACAAGGGCAACACCCUCGCCGACCACAUGCAAGGCGGAAAACACAGAUCUGCCGCUGGAUCCUCAACACCCGUUGCAAAGGCAGCGACCCUUCCCGGGUGCCAAAGGACACUGUGACCACUGUGGCUGUGAGGACCAAGCAUCACUUCUGUUCAUUUAUUUUUCCCAAGUUCUCUAGGUCAGGGGCUGGGGAUAUAGCUCAGCGGCACAGUGCCUGCCUCGCAAGCACAAGGUCAUGAGUUUGAUUCCUGGUACCGGAAAAAAAAAAAGCAAGUUCUCUGGGGCAUCGACAAGAUGGCGCCGUGGUGGGGACAAGGCCACGUCCAGGAGUGCUGGGCGGUGCCGGUUCCCAGCGAGUUAUCAGAGGCUCCCAACAGAAGAGCAAUUAAGUUAAUGCAAAUAAUGGCUUCAUUUUUGUUCAAGUCAUGAAGUAAAAGCGAGGCUUUUGAACAUUCA